AAGGGAGACCUAAUUCCGGUAGGAGACGAAAAAAAAGUAGUCCCAACCAAGAAUCAAUCCCAAAAGGUCGGAGCGAGGCGAAAUUGGCUUUCAAACUAGGUUCUGGGUUCACGCAAGACCUGAAUCAGGAACAAGGGCUAUUAGCUCAGGUGGUUAGAGCGCACCCCUGAUAAGGGUGAGGUCCCUGGUUCGAGUCCAGGAUGGCCCACCUGCACAGGUGGUAAAAACAAGAGAAGCGAGGAAUCAGCACCUUAUCUUAUCUAUAUAUAAGAGAGAAUGCUGGCUCUGAGUAAAGAGUCCAGAGGAACCUUGAAAACUGCAUAGAGCUAGGUGAAAAAGCCAAAAAAGAAGACCGCAA
Molecule: transfer RNA, 358 nt
Filed under: uncultured Microcystis sp.
Lineage: Bacteria; Bacillati; Cyanobacteriota; Cyanophyceae; Chroococcales; Microcystaceae
Description: partial 16S-23S ribosomal RNA intergenic spacer
Rfam family: tRNA (bases 135-208)
Source: RNAcentral